UUCCCUUCCAUUAUAAACCAGGACUGGCCACAUCUGCAGUCCAGAGGUUGAAAAAUUUGCUAUAGCCAUAUGAUCCCGGCUGCUGUAAAGCUUCCUUUUUUGGCCCACACAGCAUGGUCAUCCUUUCUGAAGACAAGUGCGUAAGUGGGGAAGGAUUCACAAACAACAUUACUGCUUCUGCCCAGAAAUAAAAAUGAACAUGUGUGAAUGUGAGAAUUCUGUUCCAGUUAUGGAAAUUAUUACCAGGAAUCCAGGGGAAAGCAGUUCCUUUUUACCAUUCGAUCCAUCAUGCUCCAUCUCAAUUAGCAGUUCUGGGCGCAAUGCAAGAAUCAGUCGGUGAAAGGCCUACCACGAACAGGAAUUCAGACUACAGCUGAGUGGGUGAACUUACAAAUAGAAGAAGUGAAAUGAAUGCAUUUUGGGCCUGACUUAAAAUGUUGCGUAUGAAAUAAAGCGGUCUGUUUCAUAUUUGGGUACAUGUGUAUAGAAAUCCUUAACCCUUUAAUAAGUGUUGGUGAAGCUUUAAACAAGAGCCUUAUUUCAUAAGGAAAAGUCAAAACAUCUCAUUUUUGAAUAUGGAGAAGAAAAGCUUUGACUUUUUAGAAAUUCCCCAUCCCCAGUCUUUUCAGCAGAAAGUAUUUGCUGAAUUCAAUCUGUGUUUGUGAAUCAUAUUGUUUCCCCCCCCCCCAAAAAUUGAUGAAUUUACUAUUUGCCAAUUCCUCCUCUCCCCACAAAACUUGUCUU
This is a long non-coding RNA of Gavialis gangeticus (Gharial), 744 nucleotides long. RefSeq lists it as uncharacterized. Lineage: Eukaryota; Metazoa; Chordata; Crocodylia; Gavialidae. The record is from RefSeq and is a predicted model, not a curated record. The transcript has 3 exons.